AUCAAUGAAACUGAUCUCUCCGUGAAGAAGCGGAGAUUUAACUAUAAGACGAGAAGACCCCAUGGAGCUUUAAACCUGACUACACCCCUAUCUAUUAUACCCUUAAAUCAACAGGGCCUUUGUCUGUCGGUUUUAGGUUGGGGUGACCGCGGAGCAUAAAUUAACCUCCAAGAUGAACUGGACUAACCCAUUAUCUAAGAUUUACACCUCAAAGAAUCAGCACACUGACAUAAAAUGAUCCGACAUUCGAUCAACGAACCAAGUUACCCUGGGGAUAACAGCGCAAUCUACUUCAAGAGCCCCUAUCGACAAGCAGGUUUACGACCUCGAUGUUGGAUCAGGGUAUCCUAGUGGUGCAACAGCUACUAAAGGUUCGUUUGUUCAACGAUUAA
RNAcentral lists this ribosomal RNA (392 nucleotides) under Spinomantis sp. 2 MV-2009. RNAcentral's name for it is "partial 16S ribosomal RNA". It matches the Rfam family "Bacterial large subunit ribosomal RNA", at positions 2032 to 2591 of the family's 2925-position model. The record is from RNAcentral. Lineage: Eukaryota; Metazoa; Chordata; Amphibia; Anura; Mantellidae.